This 457-nucleotide unclassified non-coding RNA is filed under the name Hevea brasiliensis (rubber tree). Lineage: Eukaryota; Viridiplantae; Streptophyta; Magnoliopsida; Malpighiales; Euphorbiaceae. The record is from RNAcentral.
CUACCACCAAAGGGCCCCCCAUGUGCUCCUUUUGGGGUGAUACCUGAUUUUGACACAUUCGUAGACACCUCGUUGGUGGGUAUUGCCGAAUGCGAGGAUGCAGGUUUUACUUCUCUAUUUGUAUUUCGAUUAACUCUGUUAUCUCUUACAACACGGAACUCUUUGCUGAUACCAGGCCAAGAACUUUUUGCAUAGGCCCCCCUCCGGACAUUACGAUCAGACAAUGUAUAUACCUUUGUCCCUUGCCUCACAUCCUCAGAAUUUCUUUGUGCAUCCAAUGAACCUUUGUAUCCCAUAUUCUCCUUCUUCUUAUCUCUUCUUCUCUUCACUUCACGAAAUGGAUCUUGGUUGAGCAACUUCUGUGCAGUUUCAUUAGGAUCCAUAUUGGUUUCCUUGAGAGUUGUAUAUAUAUCAGCAUCGGAGUGAUUGCCGACGAUCUCUUUGAUGGAUUGUAUGG